RNAcentral lists this non-coding RNA (1128 nucleotides) under Bipolaris maydis C5. RNAcentral describes it as "Eukaryotic small subunit ribosomal RNA". It matches the Rfam family "Eukaryotic small subunit ribosomal RNA", at positions 20 to 1116 of the family's 1831-position model. The record is from Rfam by way of RNAcentral. Lineage: Eukaryota; Fungi; Ascomycota; Dothideomycetes; Pleosporales; Pleosporaceae.
CUAAGCAUUUACUAAGCUUGAUUACUAAGCUAUUACUAAUCGAUUUUCUAUAAUCGUUAGUAAGCAAUUAUGUAAUUACUAUAUUAGUAAUAUAUUACGUAAUCUUAUUCUUAUAAAAUUCUUAUAUAAGCUAUUCUUUAUUUUAAUAAAGAAAGUAUUAUAUCCUCUCUACGAUACUUUCUUUACAAAUAUAUACUAAAAAUCCUAACUUUAGAAGAGAUAUAUUUAUUAGAUAAAAAACUAAUACUUUUUAAAGCUUUAUAGUAAUUUAUAAUAACUUUAUAAAUUAUAUAGCUUUAUACUAGUAAUAUUUUAUUUAAAUUUCUACUUUAUUAACUUUUAAUAGUAAGGUAUUAGCUUACUAUAGUUUUAAUAAGUAAUAGAGAAUUAAGGUUUAAUUCUAGAGAGGGAGCUUAAGAAAUAGCUACUAUAUUUAAGAAAGAUAGUAGGCCCGUAAAUUACCUAAUCUUAAUGUAGAGAGGUAGUAAUAAUAAAUACUAAUAUAGAGCUCUUUUAGGUCUUAUAAUUAGAAUAAGUAUAAUUUAAACCUCUUAAUAAGGAAUAAUUAGAGAGUAAGUUUAGUACUAGUAACUAUAGUAAUUCUAGCUCUAAUAGUGUAUAUUAAAGUUAUUAUAGUUAAAAAGCUUAUAGUUAAAACUUAGGUCUAGCUAGCGGGUCUAUUUUACUAUGUAUACUUAUCUAGCUAGGCCUUUCUUCUAAAGAACUUUAUACUCUUUACUAGUUAUAUUAGAGAAUUAGGACUUUUACUUUAAAAAAAUUAGAGUAUUUAAAGUAGGCCUUUACUUAAAUAUAUUAGUAUAAAAUAAUAAAAUAGAGUAUAUAUUUCUAUUUUAUUAGUUUCUAGAGAUAUUAUAAUAAUUAAUAGAAAUAGUUAGAAGUAUUAGUAUUUAGUUAUUAAAGGUAAAAUUCUUAGAUUUACUAAAGACUAACUACUAUAAAAAUAUUUACUAAGAAUAUUUUUAUUAAUUAGUAAAUAAAAGUUAGGGGAUUAAAGAUAAUUAGAUACUAUUAUAGUCUUAACUAUAAACUAUACUAAUUAGAGAUUAAGUAAUAUUCUUUUUCUAACUUACUUAGCACUUUAUAAGAAAUUAAAGUUUUUAAGUUCUA